CGGCGGGACUGCAGCGGUCUGUGCUUCUGUUCACGACACUCACCACCUGCAUUGAUGACAUCACCAUCACCAUCACCACCAGCGUGGAGCAAGACAGUGGCGAGAGCUUCCACGUUACUGCCACCUGCUAUAGGUGACUGAGAAGUGGGCCUAGGGCACCUUCAGACUCAACCCCAAUGAUGAGGACAUCCACACAGCCAGCGAGCACCACCUGAAGGGUCUUGCUCUAUCACCUAGUCUGGAGUGCAGUGGUGGGAUCUCUCCUACCUGCAAACUUUGCCUCCCUGGAUCAAGUGAUUCUCCUACCUCAGCCUCCCAAGUAGCUGGGAUUACAGAGUUUUGCUCUUGUCACCCAGGCUGAAGUGCAAUGGCACUCGGCUCAGUGCAACCUCUGCCUCCCAGAUUCAAGCAAUUCUCCUGCCUCAGUCUCCACAGUAGCUGGAACUACAGAGAUGAGCUCUUGCUCUGUCACCUAGGCUGGAGUGCAGUGGCUCAGUAAUAGUUCACUGCAGCCUUAAACUCCUGGACUCAAAUGAUCUUCCCACCUCAGCUUUCUGAGUAGGGAACAUGACAUCCUCUUCCUAGGUUACACCCACCUGCAGAGGGCCCAGCCCCAUCACUGGAGCCACUGGAUUCUGAGGAUGAGUAUUUUGUGUCAAGUGGAUUCAAGGGACAGUGCGAAGGAUCCAUGGCCUCAGUCAUGAAGACCCUCCCAAGAGCCAACCGUCCUGGGCACAUAUAAAUGAGUGGAGACAUGGAACUCACCCUUACAAGGCCUAGAACUUGACAGAGCAUACAAGACAGAAGCCCAAAUAACCAAG
This is a non-coding RNA of Callithrix jacchus (white-tufted-ear marmoset), 821 nucleotides long. NCBI's taxonomy places the organism in Eukaryota, Metazoa, Chordata, Mammalia, Primates, Cebidae. The record is from RefSeq and is a predicted model, not a curated record.